Molecule: small nuclear RNA, 127 nt
Gene: U2
Rfam family: U2 spliceosomal RNA
About the family: U2 is a small nuclear RNA (snRNA) component of the spliceosome (involved in pre-mRNA splicing).
Source: Ensembl
AUCGCUUCUCGGCCUUUUGGCUAAGAUCAAGUGUAGUAUCAAAAUAUCCUGACUUAUGUUUUCCCCCAUCACCAAUCUUUGUUGUUUCUAUCCACUAGAUCAUAAAUAUUGUUUAGAAACAGCAAAU